This 727-nucleotide long non-coding RNA is filed under the name Rattus norvegicus (Norway rat). RNAcentral describes it as "long non-coding RNA NONRATT025054". The record is from RNAcentral. Lineage: Eukaryota; Metazoa; Chordata; Mammalia; Rodentia; Muridae.
UUGCGGAGGAGAGGUUUUAUUUGGCUUAUACUUCCAGAUCAUAGUCUCUUCACCGGAGGAUGUCAGCACAGCAGUUCAAGCAGGGCUGGCACUUGGAGGCAGGAGCUGAUGCAGAGGCUACGGAGGGGUACUGCUUACUGGCCUGCUUCACGUGACUUGCUCAUCUUGCUUUCUUAUAGAACCCAGGACCACCAGCCCAGGGAUGGCACCACCAGUAAUGGUUUUGGUCCACUCCCAACAAUAACUACUUACAGUAGAUCUUUUCUCAAUCAAGGUUCCCUCCUUCCAGAUAACUUAAGUUGACAUUAGACCAGCCAGCACAGGAUGAGCUCAGGUCAUCAGGCUUGUGCAGCCAACACAAGGCACAACACAUGAGGCAGCUGAACACCUCCCAGCUCUUUGCUUUACUUAGAUGCUUAAACCACUCUGAUCACUUCACACAGUCUUGAUUUAUUCAGUAAAAAUUUGUUUUGGUCUAAUCAAAAUGAUUGUGGAAUAUCAAAGAUUUCCUUUUAAAAAUAAAUUAUAUAGUUUAUAAAUAAAAAAGUAUACAAUGUAAAGAUCAUUAAGAGAUGAAAUAUUUACAUAUUUUAAACUGGUAAUCACAAACUACAAUGAUUAUUGAAAUAUAUUAGCAUUAUGAGAGUUCUUUCGUAGUGACUCAGAGUGUCGAGCAUGUUUCUGAUUUCUGUCUUUCCUGAGUAAGAUCAUUUGGUAACAUUUGCAU